UACGGAGGAUCCAAGCGUUAUCCGGAAUCAUUGGGUUUAAAGGGUUCGUAGGCGGUUUUAUAAGUCAGUGGUGAAAUCUGGUCGCUCAACGAUCAAACGGCCAUUGAUACUGUAGAACUUGAAUUACUUGGAAGUAACUAGAAUAUGUAGUGUAGCGGUGAAAUGCUUAGAGAUUACAUGGAAUACCAAUUGCGAAGGCAGGUUACUACGAGUAUAUUGACGCUGAUGAACGAAAGCGUGGGGAGCGAACAGG
RNAcentral lists this ribosomal RNA (253 nucleotides) under uncultured bacterium. RNAcentral describes it as "partial 16S ribosomal RNA". It matches the Rfam family "Bacterial small subunit ribosomal RNA", at positions 524 to 776 of the family's 1533-position model. The record is from RNAcentral.